This 25-nucleotide non-coding RNA is filed under the name Cricetulus griseus (Chinese hamster). Lineage: Eukaryota; Metazoa; Chordata; Mammalia; Rodentia; Cricetidae. The record is from RNAcentral.
UGUGGUGUUGUUGGGAUAUGCAGCU